This 516-nucleotide ribosomal RNA is filed under the name Panamia ornata. Its description in RNAcentral is "partial large subunit ribosomal RNA". It matches the Rfam family "Eukaryotic large subunit ribosomal RNA", at positions 703 to 1135 of the family's 3401-position model. The record is from RNAcentral. Lineage: Eukaryota; Metazoa; Arthropoda; Insecta; Hemiptera; Reduviidae.
AAAACCCAAAGGCGUAAUGAAAGUGAAUAGUGAAAUCAAUUUUUUGUUAUCACUUAAGGGAAGAUGGAAAUGUUGUUACUUUUAUAAUUUUAGCAUUUAUGUUAUUCAUUAUUUAUAACAAUUUCCCGCACUCCCGGGGCGCUUGUUUCUCGCAUUGCGAGUCACUGCGCACCUAGAGCGUACACGAUGAUACCCGAAAGAUGGUGAACUAUGCCUGGCCAGGACGAAGCCAGGGGAAACCCUGGUGGAGGUCCGCAGCGAUUCUGACGUGCAAAUCGAUCGUCGGAGCUGGGUAUAGGGGCGAAAGACCAAUCGAACCAUCUAGUAGCUGGUUCCCUCUGAAGUUUCCCUCAGGAUAGCUUGCGCUCAUUCGGAGUCUCAUCCGGUAGAGCGAAUGAUUAGAGGCAUUGGGGUCGAAACGACCUCAACCUAUUCUCAAACUCCAAAUAGAUGAGAACCCCGGCUUUCUUAAAAAUGAAGCCGUGGGAUUCGGAUCAGAGUGCCAAGUGGGCCAAU